This 468-nucleotide ribosomal RNA is filed under the name uncultured bacterium. RNAcentral's name for it is "partial 16S ribosomal RNA". It matches the Rfam family "Bacterial small subunit ribosomal RNA", at positions 28 to 507 of the family's 1533-position model. The record is from RNAcentral.
GACGAACGCUGGCGGCGUGCUUAACACAUGCAAGUCGAACGGACAGGCCCUGCUCUUGUGGGGUGCUCGAGUGGCGCACGGGUGAGUAACACGUGUGUAACCUGCCCUUGACUUUGGGAUAACUUCAGGAAACUGGGGCUAAUACAGGAUAGGAGCUCCUGCUGCAUGGUGGGGGAUGGAAAGUUUCGGCGGUUGGGGAUGGACUCGCGGCUUAUCAGCUUGUUGGUGGGGUAGUGGAUUACCAAGGCUUUGACGGGUAGCCCGCCUGAGAGGGUGACCGGCCACAAGGGGACUGAGGGACGGCCCAGACUCCUACGGGAGGCAGCAGUGGAGAAUAUGGCACAAUGGGCGGAAGCCUGAUGCAGCAACGCCGCGUGCGGGAUAACGGCCUUCGGGUUGUAAACCGAUUUCGCCUUUGACGAAGCGGGAGUGACGGUAAUGGGUAAAGAAGCACCGGCUAACUACGUG